This 71-nucleotide non-coding RNA is filed under the name unclassified sequences. The record is from RNAcentral.
UGACAUCAAUGUUCUAACCUUCCCGUGGUGAUGUCGUAAGUAAGAUAGUAAAUAUCUGAAACUAAAGAACA